CCUCUCCAAAGCAGCCUCGCUAUUCAAUUUCGUCCUUCAACAUGUGUGUACCUGGAACCCAAUGGAUCGGUGGUGAUUCCAAGCUAUGCCGCUCCCCAGCUACUUACAAUAGGGACUUUUGCAUCUCUAGCUCAUCUCAUGGCAAAUAUUCCACCAUUUGCAAGUUAGGCACGCAGUCUGUGCAUGUACCAAGCGUGUGGCUUUCUGCAUAUGUCUGCACAUCAUUUUUCAGGAAACUCUAUUUCACACUACACCAGCUUGAUGAGUAGCUGUUGUUCACACCCACUGAGAAAUAACUCCAUGUGAGAAUAAUACCUUUACAACUUUGAAAUGUCCUCAGACAGACUUCUCAUCUCCAGGCCAUCAACCUGCUGUGAACUCUCAUCUUGACUUUUCACACUUACAGGCAACAGUCGUGCAACAUACUGUCAAACAAUAUGAAGGUUUGGGAAACGUGAAGGAGUGCAAAAUUAAAUUGGAGCCUGAACAUCUUUCUAGUUCAGGGUAAUAUUUAAUAAUUUAAAAAAAUCCACCACACAUGCAAGUAUAUUUGUACUUGGUGUCUAUUUAAACUUCUGCUCCGUGUCUCGGAAGCAUGUUUAGCCUUCUGAUUCUCCUUCACACUCUUUUUGUUGAAGAUUGGUGUAUGAACUCAGCAUCUGAGGUCCCUGUCCUCAAGACACUUUCUACUUACAUCUUCCUUAAGCCUCAAGCCUGUUUCUGAGUGUUGGAUCAGAAUGAUGUGAAUACAGGGAGCGGUAUACAGCUGCCAAGAGGGACGGCAUCUGGCUCAUAGAGGUGUAUGUGUCUUCCAGGUCUUUACUGAAGUGCUGCCUUAUCAUUUAUCUGAAACAGUGGAUACAGAGAUAUGGAUUCGAGCACACGUACUAUUCUUUGAACGAUUACAUUGCAGAGCUACUUGGAGAUUCAAACAGCUGUCUAAAGUGUGGAUUAAGUGCUAAACAAUAACAGAUCAUCUG
Molecule: long non-coding RNA, 980 nt
Filed under: Equus caballus (horse)
Lineage: Eukaryota; Metazoa; Chordata; Mammalia; Perissodactyla; Equidae
Description: lncRNA (ENSECAG00000048805.1)
Source: RNAcentral